AGUCUGAUGGAGCAACGCCGCGUGAGUGAAGAAGGCUUUCGGGUCGUAAAACUCUGUUGUUGGAGAAGAAUGGUCGGCAGAGUAACUGUUGUCGGCGUGACGGUAUCCAACCAGAAAGCCACGGCUAACUACGUGCCAGCAGCCGCGGUAAUACGUAGGUGGCAAGCGUUAUCCGGAUUUAUUGGGCGUAAAGCGAGCGCAGGCGGUUUUUUAAGUCUGAUGUGAAAGCCCUCGGCUUAACCGAGGAAGUGCAUCGGAAACUGGGAAACUUGAGUGCAGAAGAGGACAGUGGAACUCCAUGUGUAGCGGUGAAAUGCGUAGAUAUAUGGAAGAACACCAGUGGCGAAGGCGGCUGUCUGGUCUGUAACUGACGCUGAGGCUCGAAAGCAUGGGUAGCGAACAGGAUUAGAUACCCUGGUAGUCCAUGCCGUAAACGAUGAAUGCUAGGUGUUGGAGGGUUUCCGCCCUUCAGUGCCGCAGCUAACGCAUUAAGCAUUCCGCCUGGGGAGUACGACCGCAAGGUUGAAACUCAAAGGAAUUGACGGGGGCCCGCACAAGCGGUGGAGCAUGUGGUUUAAUUCGAAGCAACGCGAAGAACCUUACCAGGUCUUGACAUCUUUUGAUCACCUGAGAGAUCAGGUUUCCCCUUCGGGG
Molecule: ribosomal RNA, 654 nt
Filed under: Lacticaseibacillus rhamnosus
Lineage: Bacteria; Bacillati; Bacillota; Bacilli; Lactobacillales; Lactobacillaceae
Description: bacterial SSU rRNA
Rfam family: Bacterial small subunit ribosomal RNA
Source: RNAcentral